GGGGGUAUAGCCCAGUGGUAGAGUAUUUGAGUGCAAAUCAAGAGGUCCCUAGUCCAAACUUAGGUGUCCCUU
Molecule: transfer RNA, 72 nt
Organism: Alligator mississippiensis (American alligator)
Lineage: Eukaryota; Metazoa; Chordata; Crocodylia; Alligatoridae
Rfam family: tRNA
About the family: Transfer RNA (tRNA) molecules are approximately 80 nucleotides in length. Their secondary structure includes four short double-helical elements and three loops (D, anti-codon, and T loops).
Source: Rfam